Biomphalaria glabrata is the source of this 1026-nucleotide long non-coding RNA. RefSeq lists it as uncharacterized. The transcript has 4 exons. Lineage: Eukaryota; Metazoa; Mollusca; Gastropoda; Planorbidae. The record is from RefSeq and is a predicted model, not a curated record.
GCUUGUGUCUGACAGGGCAAACGAACCAGAAGACAAAUGCAGGGUCAGACAUAAACAUUUGGAUGAAACAGAAGCAUGCCCAAAGCGACUCACUCAGGGGCAGCGAAGUACUUAGAUAUGGAGUACCUGAACAUAACCUGUUCAUGCUCUUUGAUCAUUUUGGUUUCUGGGACUUUAGUACUUCGAGAGUUUAUAAUGGAACUCAAUCUUGUUUUUGACUGUAAUAUCCUGAUAUCUCCAUGGAAAAUCUGACUAGAGAUCAUUUAAAUGUUCAACAUACGUCAAAACAACCUCCUUCGGACAGUUUGACUGUCUUAAAUUUUGUUUCAAAAUUAUAUCCAAGCAUCCAAGAACUUCGAAAAUGUCAAAAAGAGAAACAAAAUCUUGUUAAAUGACUUUUGACAACCAUCGAACAUCAGUGUGAAGUCAUUUUCUUCCUACAACUGAGCAAAUCAUCACGUAUUCAACUCGUUGCUUCAGAUUUCUUGAAUUGCUUUCAAAACACAUUUCUGAGUUUCAUGCAAUUUAUACUGCUCAUAUUUUUUACAACUAAAAGUUUUCAUGAAUAAACACAGUGUGUCGCUAAUACUCUUGGGACUUUUCAUUUUUAAACGUUCGAUAGCUUUACAGCGUUUCAUUAGAUUACAUAAAACCUUGUGACAUAGAUUCCACAUAAGUAUUUGCAGUCGGACAAGGAAGGAAUAAAGCCAACAUUCAAAUAAUCAACACUGGGAUGUGUACAUUUCUUUUUAGAUUCUCAAUCAACUUUAUAUUAUUUAACAGAAGGCGAAAGUAUGCUGUUGAAGGUGCGACCCUGUGCGGCUUCGUUGUUUAAACAUGAAUUCUGUUCAGGCUCAUCAUUUUGAUAGGGAAAAAAAGUGAAAUGUUAACUGUGAGACUCUUAGUGAACAGCUGAUAAAAGUUUCCUGCUCUGCUCAAAUGUGUGGCAUGUGCCUGAUGCUGGUGCCACGGAGACCAGCACUGUUGCAAGACAAUUAUUUCCUUGUGUGUCCUUUGAAAUAAAGC